UACGAAGGUGGCAAGCGCUAUUCGGAUUUACUGGGCGUACAGGGAGCGUAGGCGGUUCGGUAAGCCCUUUGUGAAAUCUUCAGGCUUAACCUGGAAAAGUCGGAGGGGACUGCCGGGCUAGAGGACGGGAGAGGAGCGCGGAAUUCCCGGUGUAGCGGUGAAAUGCGUAGAGAUCGGGAGGAAGGCCGGUGGCGAAGGCGGCGCUCUGGAACGUUUCUGACGCUGAGGCUCGAAAGCGUGGGGAGCAAACAGG
This 253-nucleotide ribosomal RNA is filed under the name uncultured bacterium. RNAcentral describes it as "partial 16S ribosomal RNA". It matches the Rfam family "Bacterial small subunit ribosomal RNA", at positions 524 to 776 of the family's 1533-position model. The record is from RNAcentral.